Molecule: ribosomal RNA, 494 nt
Filed under: uncultured bacterium
Lineage: Bacteria
Description: partial 16S ribosomal RNA
Rfam family: Bacterial small subunit ribosomal RNA
Source: RNAcentral
GACGAACGCUGGCGGCGUGCUUAACACAUGCAAGUCGAACGGAAAGGCCUGCUUUCCCUUGUGGAUUGCGGGUACUCGAGUGGCGAACGGGUGAGUAACACGUGAGUGAUCUGCCCCCAACUUGGGUAUAAGCCUGGGAAACUGGGUCUAAUUCCCGAUAGGACUGCAGGGUGGUGCCUGUGGUGGAAAACGAUUUUCUAGUGGUUGGGGAUGAGCUCACGGCCUAUCAGCUUGUUGGUGGGGUAAUGGCCUACCAAGGCGGCGACGGGUAGCCGGCCUGGGAGGGGGGACGGCCACAUUGGGACUGAGAUACGGCCCAGACUCCUACGGGAGGCAGCAGUGGGGAAUAUUGCACAAUGGGCGGAAGCCUGAUGCAGCGACGCCGCGUGGGGGAUGACGGCCUUCGGGUUGUAAACUCCUUUCGACCGCGAGGAAGCCACCUGGUUGGAAGGGUGGUGACGGUAGUGGUAGAAGAAGCACCGGCUAACUACGUG